This 281-nucleotide unclassified non-coding RNA is filed under the name Funneliformis mosseae. Its description in RNAcentral is "partial contains 5.8S ribosomal RNA and internal transcribed spacer 2". The stretch from base 1 to 71 matches the Rfam family "5.8S ribosomal RNA", at positions 84 to 154 of the family's 154-position model. The record is from RNAcentral. Lineage: Eukaryota; Fungi; Glomeromycota; Glomeromycetes; Glomerales; Glomeraceae.
GUGAAUCAUCAAAUUUUUGAACGCAAAUUGCACUCCCUGGUACUCCGGGGAGUAUGCCUGUUUGAGGGUCGUCAGAAUAAAAAAUCGAGGCGUCGCUCUGUUUGUUAAGGGUGAUGGCGUCGGAAUUGAGCCGCCUUUCAAAUGUUAAUUCAUGUCAAAGUGGCUUGAAAUUCAUCAAUACGGUACGAUUAAAGCGUAUUAAAGAUCAAUCUUGAUUAAGAACGCGCGAUGACGUACCAUCCCAUGUAGGACGGUUGACCUGGGUCAUCAGGUUCAUUCGU